CGGCAGAAGGAAGUGACGAAUCAGGAAGUGACGAAUCAGGAAGUGAGAUGAGGUUUGAAGAAGAUGGCGGGAGAGAUAGGAGUGUAUGGAACAUAGUACGAUCGAGAAAACGGAAAAAAAAUGAAAAGAGAAGGUCUAACACAGAGGAUACAGAUAGCAAAGUGUUAGCUUAGCAACAAAACAGGAAUUAGAAUUUGGAACAUGUGAGUGAGAAGGCGCAUGGAGUGAACUCCUGAACAUUUGAUCUUUUAAUCGUACCUUUCAGGCAACCUGAAUCUUUUCUAAGACAUUUGGUACGCUCCUUUUCCAUUAUUUGGUCUAUAACUAUAACCAGAAAGGAAUUAUGGCUUCGGAAACCUAAAUCUUCACCGAGCACGACGAGUCAUGGCGACAAGCUACCACUGGAAAAUCUUUUGGAAAAUCUCCGCAACACUUUAAUAGCGGAGCUAACAUCUACCAUCGCAGUACAGACAUGACUAAGACCUGUAAGCCUGACGUGUACUGGUAUGACAUCGUGUGCAAGUAUGCCCAAGGGAAGUACCAGUUCACAACAGGCAAGAAGCCAGGAGCAAAGAAGUGGAAGGAUGCUUUGCACUGUAUUGAUAGUCUCACACAACCAGACCCGUAUUUACGACUUCUUUGGGAAAAGAAUCCCUUGCAAAUACGGUUAUCAUAAGGUAUGUAAUAAAACAUUAUCAUUUUACCUGCACUGGUGACCACUGCCAUAUAACUGUAAUAUUACUAUAUUUCUUCCAAUAUGAGCAUCUUUCUGUUAUGAAAAUGUACAUUAUUUAUGUUUGUAUUGUGUCAAUGAAAAAAAAAAAAGAAUAAUGUUGUUGAAACACUGGAAAUAUUUUCAGACCUAUGGAAACACUAACACUUUUUCCAGUCUGCUCAACAGACAGGGUUAAGUCCAGGGAGUCAGCCAUGCAGCCAGCCCCACAGACCAGUACAGCCAUGCAGCAGGUCCCACAGACCAGUACAGGAAAGCAGCCAGUGCCACAGUCUAGUAUAGGAUUGCAGCAUAGUGAAAUGGGCAUCGCUCUGCCAGAGUUGCAGGUUGAAGGUCAGGAGGAUGAGACACAUCCAGCUCAGCUGAUCUCAGUUUAGACACUUCACACACCUCCAGCUGUCUUAAUGUACAUGUUGAGCCAUUCAACUCAUCAUCCCAGGUAACAUGACAAUUUUUUUUAUUUUCAGUCAGUAAAAUUACCUAGGAAAUUAAUUUACAGGUGCUAUGAAUGAGUUGUUGCAUGAUUAAUCCACAAGUAAUCUUUUUUUAUAUUGACUUUUGAACACAGUCAAGUUUAUAACCAAAGUUCUCUCUCUCACAUGUUUACAAAUAAAUAAUCUAGGAAACCAGCGUUGAGGGUGAUGACUCUCACUUUCCUGACAGUGACAUUGAGGACAUUAACUCUGGUGUUCCUGGCCCAUCAGCUCCAGAUAGUCGGUGUGAUUCAAGGGUUGUUUCUGGAUGGGAGGCAGUGGAUAACUUGGCAGGGUACCUUGUUGGUCUCAACCGCACUAUAACGGCUCUGUCAACCACUGAGAUAUCUCAGAUUUUGCGGUUGUAUUCAUGCCAUUGACCAGUCUCCAUAUAAAUAUUCGCAUAAAUGCAAGAGUUAUAUUUACUUAAAUGCCAGAGUUAAGAGUUUAUAGUUAUAUUUAUAAAUACAAGAGACUUAUAAAUAACAUGUUAAUAGAUGUUAGAUCUGAGCUUUUGUAAUAAAGAGGAUUUGGG
This is a long non-coding RNA of Ictalurus punctatus (channel catfish), 1741 nucleotides long. RefSeq lists it as uncharacterized. The record is from RefSeq and is a predicted model, not a curated record. The transcript is spliced from 3 exons. NCBI's taxonomy places the organism in Eukaryota, Metazoa, Chordata, Actinopteri, Siluriformes, Ictaluridae.